RNAcentral lists this long non-coding RNA (1180 nucleotides) under Medicago truncatula (barrel medic). RNAcentral describes it as "lncRNA gene3351". The record is from RNAcentral. Lineage: Eukaryota; Viridiplantae; Streptophyta; Magnoliopsida; Fabales; Fabaceae.
GGGAGUACGAGGGAUAUGUAGUAUCAUUAAAAGCAUUUUGAUAAAGACUAAUUACUGAGUGCUUUGACCUUAAUCAUAGAAAACUGUCCGCGUAGAACAUUAUUACAAUAGAGAACUCUCAAAUUUCUGGUGCUUCAAUACUUUCAUAGUCUAGAGAAUAAUAUACUACUACAUCUAGGGCAAAACGAGAAUAUUUUGCUUUCCUAAAGUUUAUCAACGAUAUUUUAGUUCAUGGUAUUUGAACCCCUUGCCUCUAUGUGUGGUAGUUGUACAUCUCAAUUUUGCAACCAUUCAAUGGCUGAAGAGGCCUUGCAUUGUGCUGAAACUCUACACCUAGUGGUACCUUUAGAAGCUCAAGUUGUUUCUUGGAGAGUGUCCGAACCUGCAUUUUCAAUAGGUAAGAAAUUACACAUGUAUAAAAUGAGACAAUAAGCUGCGACGCUAAACUUUUUAGAUGGUAAAAUCAAUCAUCAUAAAAAUUAAUUUCAUAUAAUCAAUUCAAUUUUAUUUUUUUGGUGAACAAAGAGGGCCGAUCAAUUCAAUUUCUAUCACAACAUAACUAAAUACACGUACCUUGCCAAUGACAUUCCAAAUGACACCUUCUUUGCAUGGAGGAGUAGUGAGAGAGCCAACAUAUCUAUAAUAUCUAUAGAUCUUUUUAUUUAAUUCAUUUACAUCAAAGGUGCCAAGAGCAAUGUUAGCAUUUUUAUUGCCUGCAUGGUUCUCAUUGACUAGCUUAUAGAACUUGUCUUCAAUCUGCAUCCAAGAACCACAUGUAAUUGGAAGCUAUACUACUAUCUACUUAUGUUAUUUAUGUGCUAUUAACAUUCCAAAUGAUAAACCCUAUAUACUUUAUAUUAUAUGAGUCACAUAAUAAUAGUGAAUGUGAUUUUAACUCUACCUUGGAGAUUAGAGGAUCAGGAACACCCAAUCUAUAGAGCUGUGCCACAACUGCUAUGUUAUUGUUAUCUUCUGUGAAGUGAACUAAGUGGAGCUCGGCGUUAUGUCUGGAUGUCAGAAUAAUUUGUACAAAGAUUAGAGUCCAAAUCAGUCCUCCCAAAAAAGUUAGAAAACUAUAUAGUUGCUACAACACACUCAAAUGUCCCUAAAAAUUUAUUGUAAAGUGACUAAUGUGACUUAAUUUUUAAUUUUUUUAAAAAAAUAUAAUGUGACUUUAAUU